ACUUUACAAUGCUGGCAACAGCGAUAAGGGAACCUCGAGUGCCAGGUUACAAAUCUGGCUGUCGAGAUGCCUAAAAAGCAUUUCAUAGCAAGGGCCGGGCAAGACCGGUGCCAGCCGCCGCGGUAACACCGGCGGCUCGAGUGGUAACCGUUAUUAUUGGGUCUAAAGGGUCUGUAGCCGGCCGGAUAAGUCUCUUGAGAAAUCUGGCAGCUUAACUGUCAGGCUUUCAGGAGAUACUGUCUGGCUCGAGGCCGGGAGAGGUGAGAGGUACUUCAGGGGUAGGGGUGAAAUCUUGUAAUCCUUGAAGGACCACCAGUGGCGAAGGCGUCUCACCAGAACGGACCUGACGGCAAGGGACGAAAGCUAGGGGCACGAACCGGAUUAGAUACCCGGGUAGUCCUAGCCGUAAACGAUACUCGCUAGGUGUCGGCCACGGUGCGACCGUUGUCGGUGCCGUAGGGAAGCCG
This 467-nucleotide ribosomal RNA is filed under the name uncultured archaeon. Its description in RNAcentral is "bacterial SSU rRNA". It matches the Rfam family "Archaeal small subunit ribosomal RNA", at positions 347 to 814 of the family's 1478-position model. The record is from RNAcentral.